GAAACAUCUUCGGGUUGUGAGGUUAAGCGACUAAGCGUACACGGUGGAUGCCCUGGCAGUCAGAGGCGAUGAAGGACGUGCUAAUCUGCGAUAAGCGUCGGUAAGGUGAUAUGAACCGUUAUAACCGGCGAUUUCCGAAUGGGGAAACCCAGUGUGAUUCGUCACACUAUCAUUAACUGAAUCCAUAGGUUAAUGAGGCGAACCGGGGGAACUGAAACAUCUAAGUACCCCGAGGAAAAGAAAUCAACCGAGAUUCCCCCAGUAGCGGCGAGCGAACGGGGAGGAGCCCAGAGCCUGAAUCAGUGUGUGUGUUAGUGGAAGCGUCUGGAAAGGCGUGCGAUACAGGGUGACAGCCCCGUACACAAAAAUGCACAUGCUGUGAGCUCGAUGAGUAGGGCGGGACACGUGGUAUCCUGUCUGAAUAUGGGGGGACCAUCCUCCAAGGCUAAAUACUCCUGACUGACCGAUAGUGAACCAGUACCGUGAGGGAAAGGCGAAAAGAACCCCGGCGAGGGGAGUGAAAAAGAACCUGAAACCGUGUACGUACAAGCAGUGGGAGCACGCUUAGGCGUGUGACUGCGUACCUUUUGUAUAAUGGGUCAGCGACUUAUAUUCUGUAGCAAGGUUAACCGAAUAGGGGAGCCGAAGGGAAACCGAGUCUUAACUGGGCGUUAAGUUGCAGAGUAUAGACCCGAAACCCGGUGAUCUAGCCAUGGGCAGGUUGAAGGUUGGGUAACACUAACUGGAGGACCGAACCGACUAAUGUUGAAAAAUUAGCGGAUGACUUGUGGCUGGGGGUGAAAGGCCAAUCAAACCGGGAGAUAGCUGGUUCUCCCCGAAAGCUAUUUAGGUAGCGCCUCGUGAAUUCAUCUCCGGGGGUAGAGCACUGUUUCGGCAAGGGGGUCAUCCCGACUUACCAACCCGAUGCAAACUGCGAAUACCGGAGAAUGUUAUCACGGGAGACACACGGCGGGUGCUAACGUCCGUCGUGAAGAGGGAAACAACCCAGACCGCCAGCUAAGGUCCCAAAGUCAUGGUUAAGUGGGAAACGAUGUGGGAAGGCCCAGACAGCCAGGAUGUUGGCUUAGAAGCAGCCAUCAUUUAAAGAAAGCGUAAUAGCUCACUGGUCGAGUCGGCCUGCGCGGAAGAUGUAACGGGGCUAAACCAUGCACCGAAGCUGCGGCAGCGACGCUUAUGCGUUGUUGGGUAGGGGAGCGUUCUGUAAGCCUGUGAAGGUGUGCUGUGAGGCAUGCUGGAGGUAUCAGAAGUGCGAAUGCUGACAUAAGUAACGAUAAAGCGGGUGAAAAGCCCGCUCGCCGGAAGACCAAGGGUUCCUGUCCAACGUUAAUCGGGGCAGGGUGAGUCGACCCCUAAGGCGAGGCCGAAAGGCGUAGUCGAUGGGAAACAGGUUAAUAUUCCUGUACUUGGUGUUACUGCGAAGGGGGGACGGAGAAGGCUAUGUUGGCCGGGCGACGGUUGUCCCGGUUUAAGCGUGUAGGCUGGUUUUCCAGGCAAAUCCGGAAAAUCAAGGCUGAGGCGUGAUGACGAGGCACUACGGUGCUGAAGCAACAAAUGCCCUGCUUCCAGGAAAAGCCUCUAAGCAUCAGGUAACAUCAAAUCGUACCCCAAACCGACACAGGUGGUCAGGUAGAGAAUACCAAGGCGCUUGAGAGAACUCGGGUGAAGGAACUAGGCAAAAUGGUGCCGUAACUUCGGGAGAAGGCACGCUGAUAUGUAGGUGAAGCGACUUGCUCGUGGAGCUGAAAUCAGUCGAAGAUACCAGCUGGCUGCAACUGUUUAUUAAAAACACAGCACUGUGCAAACACGAAAGUGGACGUAUACGGUGUGACGCCUGCCCGGUGCCGGAAGGUUAAUUGAUGGGGUCAGCGCAAGCGAAGCUCUUGAUCGAAGCCCCGGUAAACGGCGGCCGUAACUAUAACGGUCCUAAGGUAGCGAAAUUCCUUGUCGGGUAAGUUCCGACCUGCACGAAUGGCGUAAUGAUGGCCAGGCUGUCUCCACCCGAGACUCAGUGAAAUUGAACUCGCUGUGAAGAUGCAGUGUACCCGCGGCAAGACGGAAAGACCCCGUGAACCUUUACUAUAGCUUGACACUGAACAUUGAGCCUUGAUGUGUAGGAUAGGUGGGAGGCUUUGAAGUGUGGACGCCAGUCUGCAUGGAGCCGACCUUGAAAUACCACCCUUUAAUGUUUGAUGUUCUAACGUGGACCCGUAAUCCGGGUUGCGGACAGUGUCUGGUGGGUAGUUUGACUGGGGCGGUCUCCUCCUAAAGAGUAACGGAGGAGCACGAAGGUUGGCUAAUCCUGGUCGGACAUCAGGAGGUUAGUGCAAUGGCAUAAGCCAGCUUGACUGCGAGCGUGACGGCGCGAGCAGGUGCGAAAGCAGGUCAUAGUGAUCCGGUGGUUCUGAAUGGAAGGGCCAUCGCUCAACGGAUAAAAGGUACUCCGGGGAUAACAGGCUGAUACCGCCCAAGAGUUCAUAUCGACGGCGGUGUUUGGCACCUCGAUGUCGGCUCAUCACAUCCUGGGGCUGAAGUAGGUCCCAAGGGUAUGGCUGUUCGCCAUUUAAAGUGGUACGCGAGCUGGGUUUAGAACGUCGUGAGACAGUUCGGUCCCUAUCUGCCGUGGGCGCUGGAGAAUUGAGGGGGGCUGCUCCUAGUACGAGAGGACCGGAGUGGACGCAUCACUGGUGUUCGGGUUGUCAUGCCAAUGGCACUGCCCGGUAGCUAAAUGCGGAAGAGAUAAGUGCUGAAAGCAUCUAAGCACGAAACUUGCCCCGAGAUGAGUUCUCCCUGACUCCUUGAGAGUCCUGAAGGAACGUUGAAGACGACGACGUUGAUAGGCCGGGUGUGUAAGCGCAGCGAUGCGUUGAGCUAACCGGUACUAAUGAACCGUGAGGCUUAACCUU
RNAcentral lists this ribosomal RNA (2924 nucleotides) under Escherichia coli O139:H28 str. E24377A. RNAcentral describes it as "bacterial LSU rRNA". It matches the Rfam family "Bacterial large subunit ribosomal RNA". Lineage: Bacteria; Pseudomonadati; Pseudomonadota; Gammaproteobacteria; Enterobacterales; Enterobacteriaceae. The record is from RNAcentral.